This 254-nucleotide ribosomal RNA is filed under the name uncultured bacterium. RNAcentral describes it as "partial 16S ribosomal RNA". It matches the Rfam family "Bacterial small subunit ribosomal RNA", at positions 524 to 776 of the family's 1533-position model. The record is from RNAcentral.
UACGUAGGGGGCGAGCGUUGUCCGGAAUUACUGGGCGUAAAGGGCGCGUAGGCGGUCCUUUAAGUCCGCGGUGAAAGCCCGGGGCUCAACCCCGGAGGGUCCGCGGAGACUGGAGGACUGGAGGGUCGGAGAGGAGUGCGGAAUUCCUGGUGUAGCGGUGGAAUGCGUAGAGAUCAGGAGGAACACCGAUGGCGAAGGCAGCACUCUGGCCGAAGUCCUGACGCUGAGGCGCGAAAGCUGGGGGAGCGAACGGG